GCCCUUUUCCCCCACUCCUGCUGGCGUGCCCUACAGAGAAGCUUUCAGGCUCUUGGGGGAAAAGC
Molecule: non-coding RNA, 65 nt
Organism: Colinus virginianus (northern bobwhite)
Lineage: Eukaryota; Metazoa; Chordata; Aves; Galliformes; Odontophoridae
Source: Rfam